GACGAACGCUGGCGGCGUGCCUAAUACAUGCAAGUCGAGCGCAGGAAACUGACGGAACUCUUCGGAGGGAAGGCAGUGGAAUGAGCGGCGGACGGGUGAGUAACACGUAAGGAACCUGCCUCAAGGAUUGGGAUAACUCCGAGAAAUCGGAGCUAAUACCGGAUAGUUCAACGGACCGCAUGGUCAGCUGAUGAAAGGCGCUCCGGCGUCACCUUGAGAUGGCCUUGCGGUGCAUUAGCUAGUUGGUGGGGUAACGGCCCACCAAGGCGACGAUGCAUAGCCGACCUGAGAGGGUGAUCGGCCACACUGGGACUGAGACACGGCCCAGACUCCUACGGGAGGCAGCAGUAGGGAAUCUUCCACAAUGGACGAAAGUCUGAUGGAGCAACGCCGCGUGAGUGAUGAAGGUUUUCGGAUCGUAAAACUCUGUUGUAAGGGAAGAACACGUACGAGAGGAAAUGCUCGUACCUUGACGGUACCUUACGAGAAAGCCACGGCUAACUACGUGCCAGCCGCCGCUGUAA
RNAcentral lists this ribosomal RNA (524 nucleotides) under uncultured bacterium. RNAcentral's name for it is "partial 16S ribosomal RNA". It matches the Rfam family "Bacterial small subunit ribosomal RNA", at positions 28 to 523 of the family's 1533-position model. The record is from RNAcentral.